RNAcentral lists this long non-coding RNA (270 nucleotides) under Capsella rubella. Its description in RNAcentral is "long non-coding RNA (CRUB_LNC001260)". Lineage: Eukaryota; Viridiplantae; Streptophyta; Magnoliopsida; Brassicales; Brassicaceae. The record is from RNAcentral.
UCACUUUGCUAGGCAAUGUGCUGUUGCUUAAUUGCUUUCCUUCUCAACAAAAGAGAGAAUGAAACUGAAUCGAGUUAUUUAUAUAUUUCUCUUCGUUUUCUUUUCUUUUUUUUUGUUGUUGAUGGGAAUGAAACUGCCUGGUCCUUUUGGUGUUUUUGACUUCUUAUUAUUAUUAUACUACAAAGAGAGAGUGAUCCCUUUUCUUCUUGUUAUAACCAUCUCCUUUAGUGUUUGUCUUUGACAUGGAUGCUCUUUUCUUUUCUAUCUGUU